RNAcentral lists this transfer RNA (73 nucleotides) under Hypnea cervicornis. Its description in RNAcentral is "tRNA-Val". It matches the Rfam family "tRNA". From Rfam's summary of the family: Transfer RNA (tRNA) molecules are approximately 80 nucleotides in length. Their secondary structure includes four short double-helical elements and three loops (D, anti-codon, and T loops). Lineage: Eukaryota; Rhodophyta; Florideophyceae; Gigartinales; Hypneaceae. RNAcentral also lists the same sequence under 1 other name. The record is from RNAcentral.
GGGUAAUUAACUCAAUAGGUAGAGUGUUUCGUUUACAUUGAAAAAGUUAAUGGUUCAAGUCCAUUAUUACUCA